CAUGUGGUUUAAUUCGAUGAUACGCGAGGAACCUUACCUGGGCUUAAAUGUAGAGUGCAUUUUUUAGAGAUAGAAAUUCCCUUCGGGGCUUUCUGCAAGGUGCUGCAUGGUUGUCGUCAGCUCGUGCCGUGAGGUGUCGGGUUAAGUCCCAUAACGAGCGCAACCCUUAUCGUUAGUUGCCAUCUGGUAAUGCAGGGGACCCUAGCGAAACUGCCGCCGUAAGGUGAGAGGAAGGUGGGGAUGACGUCAAAUCAGCACGGCCCUUAUGUCCAGGGCUACACACGUGUUACAAUGGUCGGUACAGAGGGCAGCUACCUGGUGACAGGAUGCUAAUCUCGAAAACCGGUCUCAGUUCGGAUCGAAGUCUGCAACUCGACUUCGUGAAGCUGGAUUCGCUAGUAAUCGCGCAUCAGCUAUGGCGCGGUGAAUACGUUCCCGGGCCUU
This 444-nucleotide ribosomal RNA is filed under the name uncultured Sphingobacteriales bacterium. Its description in RNAcentral is "bacterial SSU rRNA". It matches the Rfam family "Bacterial small subunit ribosomal RNA", at positions 938 to 1382 of the family's 1533-position model. The record is from RNAcentral. Lineage: Bacteria; Pseudomonadati; Bacteroidota; Sphingobacteriia; Sphingobacteriales.